GGGGCUGACAAGCUUCGACGUAAGGACUUUGACACGCUACUUGGCACGCCGGGUUGAUCUACACGUCAGAUGGAUCACCACAAUACGUGCAAACGUACGAGAUAAGGUAGCUGGCGUUGCGGCCAGUGUUGCGAAUACGUUCGCGCCGGCCCAACCGGCUGCCGUUACCGUCGCGGCUUAACUACCGCGACCAUCGGUUCCGUGACGCCCAGUAGCGGUUCACCGGUGGCAUAUCACUGGGUGUAGGCAAACGUGACGCCGGGAAUGCUUGCUGAAUCCAAUUCCGGCUCGCCGGAUGCAUGACCGGGGCGUCAAACCCCAAGCCGUGCAUCCGCGUUAAACCUUCAGGCUGAAUUUGACUACGCGUGUAGAAAAGUAGCGGGUUAACUUGCGGACCGGGGUGCAAAUCCCCGCAGCUCCACCA
RNAcentral lists this transfer-messenger RNA (424 nucleotides) under Patescibacteria group. Its description in RNAcentral is "QS-5-54-17 sp003022365 Standard tmRNA". It matches the Rfam family "transfer-messenger RNA". From Rfam's summary of the family: Bacterial tmRNA, also known as 10Sa RNA or SsrA, is named for its dual tRNA and mRNA-like properties. The record is from RNAcentral. RNAcentral also lists the same sequence under 1 other name.